AAACUUUCAACAACGGAUCUCUUGGUUCUGGCAUCGAUGAAGAACGCAGCGAAAUGCGAUAAGUAACGUGAAUUGCAGAAUUCAGUGAAUCAUCGAAUCUUUGAACGCACAUUGCGCCCAUUAGUAUUCUAGUGGGCAUGCCUGUUCGAGCGUCAUUU
This 158-nucleotide ribosomal RNA is filed under the name Pestalotiopsis vismiae. RNAcentral describes it as "5.8S ribosomal RNA". It matches the Rfam family "5.8S ribosomal RNA". From Rfam's summary of the family: 5.8S ribosomal RNA (5.8S rRNA) is a component of the large subunit of the eukaryotic ribosome. It is transcribed by RNA polymerase I as part of the 45S precursor that also contains 18S and 28S rRNA. Functionally, it is thought that 5.8S rRNA may be involved in ribosome translocation. The record is from RNAcentral. Lineage: Eukaryota; Fungi; Ascomycota; Sordariomycetes; Amphisphaeriales; Sporocadaceae.